RNAcentral lists this ribosomal RNA (452 nucleotides) under uncultured bacterium. RNAcentral's name for it is "partial 16S ribosomal RNA". It matches the Rfam family "Bacterial small subunit ribosomal RNA", at positions 29 to 523 of the family's 1533-position model. The record is from RNAcentral.
AACGAACGCUGGCGGCAUGCCUAACACAUGCAAGUCGAACGAUUGCCUUCGGGUGAUAGUGGCGCACGGGUGCGUAACGCGUGGGAAUCUGCCCUCAGGUUCGGAAUAACAGUUGGAAACGACUGCUAAUACCGGAUGAUGACGUUAAGUCCAAAGAUUUAUCGCCUGAGGAUGAGCCCGCGUAGGAUUAGCUAGUUGGUGUGGUAAGAGCGCACCAAGGCGACGAUCCUUAGCUGGUCUGAGAGGAUGAUCAGCCACACUGGGACUGAGACACGGCCCAGACUCCUACGGGAGGCAGCAGUGGGGAAUAUUGGACAAUGGGCGAAAGCCUGAUCCAGCAAUGCCGCGUGAGUGAUGAAGGCCUUAGGGUUGUAAAGCUCUUUUACCCGGGAUGAUAAUGACAGUACCGGGAGAAUAAGCUCCGGCUAACUCCGUGCCAGCAGCCGCCGUAA